This 890-nucleotide ribosomal RNA is filed under the name uncultured marine bacterium. Its description in RNAcentral is "bacterial SSU rRNA". It matches the Rfam family "Bacterial small subunit ribosomal RNA", at positions 509 to 1397 of the family's 1533-position model. The record is from RNAcentral.
CAGCAGCCGCGGUAAUACGGGGGGAGCAAGCGUUGUUCGGAGUUAUUGGGCGUAAAGGGCGUACAGGCGGUGGUGUAAGUCAGAUGUGAAAUCCCCCGGCUCAACCGGGGACCUGCAUUUGAUACUGCAUCACUUGAGUACAGGAGAGGAGAGCGGAAUUUUCGGUGUAGCGGUGGAAUGUGUAGAUAUCGAAAAGAACACCAGUGGCGAAGGCGGCUCUCUGGCCUGAUACUGACGCUGACGCGCGAAAGCUAGGGGAGCAAACAGGAUUAGAUACCCUGGUAGUCCUAGCCGUAAACGUUGGGCACUAGGUGUUGGAGGUAUCGACCCCUUCAGUGCCGAAGCUAACGCAUUAAGUGCCCCGCCUGGGGAGUACGGCCGCAAGGCUGAAACUCAAAGGAAUUGACGGGGGCCUGCACAAGCGGUGGAGCAUGUGGUUUAAUUCGAGGCAACGCGAAGAACCUUACCUGGUCUUGACAUGUACCUGAAAGCCCUGGAGACAGGGCCCCUCUUCGGAGCGGGUACACAGGUGCUGCAUGGCUGUCGUCAGCUCGUGUCGUGAGAUGUUGGGUUAAGUCCCGCAACGAGCGCAACCCUUGUCCUUAGUUGCCAGCAGGUGAAGCUGGGCACUCUAAGGAGACCGCCGGUGAUAAAUCGGAGGAAGGUGGGGAUGACGUCAAGUCCUCAUGGCCUUUAUUGACCAGGGCUACACACGUGCUACAAUGGCCGAUAUAAAGGGUUACAAUACCGCGAGGUGGAGUCAAUCCCAAAAAGUCGGUCCCAGUUCGGAUUGCAGUCUGAAACUCGACUGCAUGAAGUCGGAAUCGCUAGUAAUCGCGGAUCAGCAUGCCGCGGUGAAUAUGUUCCCAGGCCUUGUACACACCGCCCGU